UGGAUAAAGAGGUAUUGGCGUGCCUCAAUCCGAAGGCAUGGCUGAUUACUAGCAUGCACCAAGCUCAGCCAUGUUCUUGGAUUGAGCCGCGUCAAUAUCUCUCCUUGCUUC
This 111-nucleotide microRNA precursor is filed under the name Leersia perrieri. Lineage: Eukaryota; Viridiplantae; Streptophyta; Magnoliopsida; Poales; Poaceae. The record is from RNAcentral.